This is a long non-coding RNA of Brachypodium distachyon (stiff brome), 1392 nucleotides long. RefSeq lists it as uncharacterized. The record is from RefSeq and is a predicted model, not a curated record. NCBI's taxonomy places the organism in Eukaryota, Viridiplantae, Streptophyta, Magnoliopsida, Poales, Poaceae. The transcript has 2 exons.
UUUUCUCUUUUCCUUUCUUCUUCUUUUUCCUCCUGCUGCCGCCACGGUCUCCUUCCUCCACCCGAUCCCCUUCUUCCUCCUCAUCCCGCGAGCUCCACUACAUGGCCGAGUCUCCCUUUGCUCUCUCCCCCUCAAGCUCCCCACGGCCCCUCUUCCUCGAGCUCCUCUACGCCGCGCCGCUCUCCCUCUCCCGUGGCCGCCUGCCCUCUGCGCCCGCACCGCCGCCUCCUUGCCGGCCCGCGUCUGCUGCUCCCUUGCUCCCCGCCGGCGCUCGUCCUCCGCCCCACGCCGCCGAGCUCCCUCGCAGCGCCGCUCCGCUUCCCCGUGCCGCCCGACACCACCUCGCGGGCCUCUCUCUCCCCGGCCUCGCGCGCCUGCUGCCUCCCCGCACGCGCGCCUCCCGCGUCCCCCUCGCCGGCCGCUCCGCCCUAUGCGUCGCCGAGCCCCUCUUCACCGGAGCCGCCUCCCCGUCGGCCGCGUCCAGCCCACGCGCCGCUCUCCCUCUCCCUACGGCCUUGCCUCGCGCGCGCCUCCUGCUCGCCCCCUCCUCUGCUCUCUGUCGCGUGCGCCGCCAGCGCCCGGCUCCAUCGCCCGGCCCCAGGACUCCCCGCGCCUCUGCCUCCGCCUCCGCCUGGCCGCCCGUGCGCCCCCUCUCCACCUCGUUGCCCCGUGAAUAGUGAAAUGCAUGUGUUGUUGAGAUGCCGUGUAUGUACCGAUAAUAUCGAUAGUUGCAGUCUUCGAUUCCUACGACGACGACUACAUUUGUGUUCUUCUUCCAGGAUUCUUACUCAAAUCCGGGCAAUUGAGUACUCCAGGCAAGCAGCCAUUCCUUGAGCAUGUUGUUUAUGCCCAAUGACUCUCUCUCAUUCUUGCAUUAAGUUACGUUCUCGGUUCUUGUCACGAUGCCUCUAGAAUUGCAUAGCUUUAGUCAGCUCUACUCAUAUGCCUGUUGUCUUGUUCCUUAUCCUAUUACCAUGUCACAUGUUUGUUAUUGCCCCAGUUGAUCAUUAGAAGUUUGAUUAGAUUGCUAGUCUAGUGUCCUUACUUGGGGUUACACAAUUGCGACAUCCACAUGCUACUUCCUGUAUUUAAAUUGCAAAUAUUAAACUGUGAUAUGAUAUUAAACUGUAACAAAGCAACCAUGGGAGGCUGUGCUCUAACGCAUUGGUGUUUUGUUCCAUUGGCGCCGACCUAAGGACUGAGUUCUCGUUUUCGCCGAUCCAAGAAACUUCGCGCUAACCGCUCGUGGGAAAAUAUAUGGGUUCUUCCUCGGCUUUGUAACAUCCCAAAAUUUCAAAAUUUUACAUGUCCAUUGCAUCCAUGAGCAUCAUGCCACAAUUGCAUGUUUGAAUUCAAAUUUGAAUCUCAAAAGGCUUUGGAAAGAUUUUAUUU